CCAAGUCGAGUGCACAAUAUGCUGAUUCACAUGAUCGUGGCCUUCUAUAAGUGCACUGACCACUGUAUACCACUUUAUCGAUAUGAUGAUGUUUACGAAGAAUAAUUCAUGUCAUCAUAUAUAAAAAGGAUUAUUUCUGUAUUUUGAGAAAAUACUUGUUAAGAUUUUUAUCUGUGUUUACAAUCACACAAAAGUAUCAUACGGCCAUUCAAUGGCUGAAUCAGGAAGUCUUUUGGUUGUUUAUUAUACUGUUUGGUUGUGUGUCGUAUUACUUAUAUAUAUACCGUGUACUGGGCUUGUCAAUUACAUUGUAAACUAAGUGUAAUAUCACCAUUAAAUAUGUAAUUUACUAUCACUUACUAUCUAGUAUUCUUAUAAAUGCUAAAAUUAGAAUAUAAGGCUGAGCUAGGUUUUUUUUCUAGUUUUACUUUGCUAAUAGAUAAUAAAUAAUAUUUAAACAUUAUUCAGAGACCCUCAACACAAGUUGCACUCGACGUCGAGCUCGUUCAGAGAUAUCUCAGAGAUAUGGUAUAGGCAGGAUAUGUGGAGCUUGGUACAGCUAUACAUAUCUUAAAUAUCUACCCAGUUCAAAGGAAUGAGGAACGUGAUAAACCCAAAUUAAGUAAACACACAAAAGAAGUCCCUGUCUGUUUUCCUCUAAGAGGUGACGAUUACACACUUCCUGGUCCAAAUGACUUCCUUGUUUGAUUUCAACUAGCAAGUACGUUGUACAAUAGGUGCAAGAACAUUUGUCAAGUGAGGCUACAAGGUGCUUGACCGAACUCGUCAAACUAACCGGGCGCCUGCUGCUUAAUGUAAAACUAACAUAUGGAGGAAACACAUGCAAGUAUGACAAGUAAUUCUAAUUAUAUCGCAGGUGCUCUACACGAAGACUCGGUCCUCCGUUUCUGUAGCCGGGGAAGGAGAUGAAAUUUAAGGUACAUUAGUUCACUUGUAUUUCAAAAGAUUAGAGAGUAAAACAAAGGGCGUGUUAUGGACUAUGGACACCUCUACAGAGAUGUUAUAAAGGGUUCGAAAUCGAUUUGCAUUUCAGGAAGGUGACGCAGCUUUAUAAACAUACCAGAAGGGAAUUCCCCUGUUUCGCUUAGAUCAGCUGUUCACAACGACAGAUUUGGAGUAGUGUAAAUGUGUAACCUGGUCAUCGAGUUUAGCCUUGUGUGACGACUCGGGUCCAGCAAACACCUUGAGGAGUGGAA
Mizuhopecten yessoensis (Yesso scallop) is the source of this 1217-nucleotide long non-coding RNA. RefSeq lists it as uncharacterized. The transcript is spliced from 4 exons. The record is from RefSeq and is a predicted model, not a curated record. NCBI's taxonomy places the organism in Eukaryota, Metazoa, Mollusca, Bivalvia, Pectinida, Pectinidae.